RNAcentral lists this ribosomal RNA (482 nucleotides) under uncultured bacterium. RNAcentral's name for it is "partial 16S ribosomal RNA". It matches the Rfam family "Bacterial small subunit ribosomal RNA", at positions 30 to 507 of the family's 1533-position model. The record is from RNAcentral.
AUUGAACGCUGGCGGCAUGCUCUACACAUGCAAGUCGAACGGUAACAGGCCGCAAGGUGCUGACGAGUGGCGAACGGGUGAGUAAUGCAUCGGAACGUGCCCAGUCGUGGGGGAUAACUACUCGAAAGAGUAGCUAAUACCGCAUACGAUCUAUGGAUGAAAGCGGGGGACCGUAAGGCCUCGCGCGAUUGGAGCGGCCGAAGUCAGAUUAGGUAGUUGGUGGGGUAAAGGCUCACCAAGCCAACGAUCUGUAGCUGGUCUGAGAGGACGACCAGCCACACUGGGACUGAGACACGGCCCAGACUCCUACGGGAGGCAGCAGUGGGGAAUUUUCGACAAUGGGCGCAAGCCUGAUCCAGCAAUGCCGCGUGCAGGAAGAAGGCCUUCGGGUUGUAAACUGCUUUUGUACGGAACGAAACGGCUCUGGUUAAUACCCGGGGCUAAUGACGGUACCGUAAGAAUAAGCACCGGCUAACUACGUG